Molecule: non-coding RNA, 3811 nt
Organism: Xyrichtys novacula (pearly razorfish)
Lineage: Eukaryota; Metazoa; Chordata; Actinopteri; Labriformes; Labridae
Source: the annotation of a GenBank genome assembly
AGCGUUUCAGGAACUUCUUAAAGUCAUGUGCUCUACCAACUGAGCUAUGAAGGUGCUUAUAGAUAAAAACGCAGAAAACAUAGUGGCUUCGGCGACACACUUUGCCAAAACAACAAUCAAGCCACCUGGUCAAUGAAAAAGGAUGAACAGUGCAUAUACAAAUGAAAUCUGUUGCUUGGAGCUGGAGUUGAACCAGGGAGCUUUGGAGCACAGCGUUUAAGGAACUUCUUAAACACAUGUGCUCUACCAACUGAGCUAUGAAGGUGCUUAUAGAUAAAAACGCAGAAAACAUAGUGGCUUCGGCGACACACUUUGCCAAAACAACAAUCAAGCCACCUGGUCAAUGAAAAAGGAUGAACAGUGCAUAUACAAAUGAAAUCUGGUGCUUGGAGCUGGAGUUGAACCAGGGACCUUUGGACAACAGCGUUUCAGGAACUUCUUACAGUCAUGUGCUCUACCAACUGAGCUAUGAAGGUGCUUAUAGAUGAAAACGCAGAAAACAUAGUGGCUUCGGCGACACACUUUGCCAACACAACAAUCAAGCCACCUGGUCAAUGAAAAAGGUUGAACAGUGCAUAAAUCAAUGAAAUCUGGUGUUUGGAGCAGGAGUUGAACCAGCGACCUUUGGACCACAGCAUUUCAGGAACUUCUUAAAGUCAUGUGCUCUACCAACUGAGCUAUGAAGGUCCUUUUAGAUAAAAACGCAGAAAACAUAGUGGCUUCGGCGACACACUUUGCCAACAUAACUAUUGAACCAACAUGGUCAAUGAAAAAGGUUGAACAGUGCAUAGACCAAUGAAAUGUGGUGUUUGGAGCAGGAGUUGAACCAGCGUCCUUUGGACCACAGCGUUUCAGGAACUUCUUAAAGUCAUGUGCUCUACCAACUGAGCUAUGAAGGUGCUUAUAGACACAAACGCAGAAAACAUAGUGGCUUCGGCGACACACUUUGCCAACAAUACAAUUGGACCCACAUGGUCAAUGAAAAAGGUUGAACAGUGCAUAGACCAAUGAAAUCUGGUGUUUGGAGCAGGAGUUGAACCAGCGACCUUUGGACCACAGCGUUUCAGGAACUUCUUAAAGUCAUGUGCUCUACCAACUGAGCUAUGAAGGUGCUUAUAGAUAAAAACGCAGAAAACAUAGUGGCUUCGGCGACACACUUUGCCAACAUAACUAUUGAACCAACAUGGUCAAUGAAAAAGGUUGAACAGUGCAUAGACCAAUGAAAUGUGGUGUUUGGAGCAGGAGUUGAACCAGCGUCCUUUGGACCACAGCGUUUCAGGAACUUCUUAAAGUCAUGUGCUCUACGAACUGAGCUAUGAAGGUGCUUAUAGACACAAACGCAGAAAACAUAGUGGCUUCGGCGACACACUUUGCCAACAAUACAAUUGGACCCACAUGGUCAAUGAAAAAGGUUGAACAGUGCAUAGACCAAUGAAAUCUGGUGUUUGGAGCAGGAGUUGAACCAGCGACCUUUGGACCACAGCGUUUCAGGAACUUCUUAAAGUCAUGUGCUCUACCAACUGAGCUAUGAAGGUGCUUAUAGAUAAAAACGCAGAAAACAUAGUGGCUUCGGCGACACACUUUGCCAACAUAACUAUUGAACCAACAUGGUCAAUGAAAAAGGUUGAACAGUGCUUAGACAAAUGAAAUCUGGUGUUUGGAGCUGGAGUUGAACCAGCGACCUUUGGACCACAGCGUUUCAGGAACUUCUUAAAGUCAUGUGCUCUACCAACUGAGCUAUGAAGGUGCUUAUAGAUAAAAACGCAGAAAACAUAGUGGCUUCGGCGACACACUUUGCCAACAUAACUAUUGAACCAACAUGGUCAAUGAAAAAGGUUGAACAGUGCAUACACCAAUGAAAUCUGGUGUUUGGAGCUGGAGUUGAACCAGCGUCCUUUGGACCACAGCGUUUAAGGAACUUCUUAAAGUCAUGUGCUCUACCAACUGAGCUAUGAAGGUGCUUAUAGAUAAAAACGCAGAAAACAUAGUGGCUUCGGCGACACACUUUGCCAACAAUACAAUUGGACCCACAUGGUCAAUGAAAAAGGUUGAACAGUGCUUAGACAAAUGAAAUCUGGUGUUUGGAGAUGGAGUUGAACCAGCGACCUUUGGACCACAGCGUUUCAGGAACUUCUUACAGUCAUGUGCUCUACCAACUGAGCUAUGAAGGUGCUUAUAGAUAAAAACGCAGAAAACAUAGUGGCUUCGGCGACACACUUUGCCAAAACAACAAUCAAGCCACCUGGUCAAUGAAAAAGGAUGAACAGUGCAUAUACAAAUGAAAUCUGGUGCUUGGAGCUGGAGUUGAACCAGGGACCUUUGGACAACAGCGUUUCAGGAACUUCUUACAGUCAUGUGCUCUACCAACUGAGCUAUGAAGGUGCUUAUAGAUGAAAACGCAGAAAACAUAGUGGCUUCGGCGACACACUUUGCCAACACAACAAUCAAGCCACCUGGUCAAUGAAAAAGGUUGAACAGUGCAUAAAUCAAUGAAAUCUGGUGCUUGGAGCAGGAGUUGAACCAGCGACCUUUGGACCACAGCAUUUCAGGAACUUCUUAAAGUCAUGUGCUCUACCAACUGAGCUAUGAAGGUCCUUUUAGAUAAAAACGCAGAAAACAUAGUGGCUUCGGCGACACACUUUGCCAAAACAACAAUCAAGCCACCUGGUCAAUGAAAAAGGAUGAACAGUGCAUAUACAAAUGACAACUGGAUGCUUGGAGCUGGAGUUCAACCAGCGACCUUUGGACCACAGCGUUUCAGGAACUUCUUAAAGUCAUGUGCUCUACCAACUGAGCUAUGAAGGUGCUUAUAGACACAAACGCAGAAAACAUAGUGGCUUCGGCGACACACUUUGCCAACAAUACAAUUGGACCCACAUGGUCAAUGAAAAAGGUUGAACAGUGCAUAGACCAAUGAAAUCUGGUGUUUGGAGCUGGAGUUGAACCAGCGACCUUUGGACCACAGCGUUUCAGGAACUUCUUAAAGUCAUGUGCUCUACCAACUGAGCUAUGAAGGUGCUUAUAGAUAAAAACGCAGAAAACAUAGUGGCUUCCGCGACACACUUUGCCAAAACAACAAUCAAGCCACCUGGUCAAUGAAAAAGGAUGAACAGUGCAUAUACAAAUGAAAUCUGGUGCUUGGAGCUGGAGUUGAACCAGAGACCUUUGGACCACAGCGUUUCAGGAACUUCUUAAAGUCAUGUGCUCUACCAACUGAGCUAUGAAGGUGCUUAUAGAUAAAAACGCAGAAAACAUAGUGGCUUCGGCGACACACUUUGCCAACACAACAAUCAAGCAACCUGGUCAAUGAAAAAGGUUGAACAGUGCAUAGACCAAUAAAAUCUGGUGUUUGGAGCAGGAGUUGAACAAGCGACCUUUGGACCACAGCGUUUCAGGAACUUCUUAAAGUCAUGUGCUCUACCAACUGAGCUAUGAAGGUGCUUAUAGAUAAAAACGCAGAAAACAUAGUGGCUUCGGCGACACACUUUGCCAAAACAACAAUCAAGCCACCUGGUCAAUGAAAAAGGAUGAACAGUGCAUAUACAAAUGAAAUCUGGUGGUUGGAGGUGGAGUUGAACCAGGGACCUUUGGACCACAGCGUUUCAGGAACUUCUUACAGUCAUGUGCUCUACCAACUGAGCUAUGAAGGUGCUUAUAGAUGAAAACGCAGAAAACAUAGUGGCUUCGGCGACACACUUUGCCAACACAACAAUCAAGCCACCUGGUCAAUGAAAAAGGUUGAACAGUGCAUAAAUCAAUGAAAUCUGGUGUUUGGAGCAGGAGUUGAAGCAGCGACCUUUGGACCACAGCA